GAUCAUGGCUCAGAACGAACGCUGGCGGCAGGCUUAACACAUGCAAGUUGAACGGGAUUGUUAAGUAGCUUGCUAUUUAACAAGAGAGUAGCGCACUGGUGAGUAACACGUGGGAACGUACCUUUUGGUGGGGGACAACAUCUGGAAACGGAUGCUAAUACCGCAUAAGACCUGAGGGUGAAAGAUUUAUCGCCGAAAGAACGGCCCGCGGAAGAUUAGGCAGUUGGUGGGGUUAAAAGGCCUACCAAACCUACGAUCUAUAG
RNAcentral lists this ribosomal RNA (263 nucleotides) under uncultured bacterium. RNAcentral describes it as "partial 16S ribosomal RNA". It matches the Rfam family "Bacterial small subunit ribosomal RNA", at positions 15 to 286 of the family's 1533-position model. The record is from RNAcentral.